Molecule: ribosomal RNA, 371 nt
Filed under: uncultured bacterium
Lineage: Bacteria
Description: bacterial SSU rRNA
Rfam family: Bacterial small subunit ribosomal RNA
Source: RNAcentral
ACGGAAUAGAUACCCAGGUAGUCCACGCCCUAAACGAUGUCUACUAGUUGUUGGGAGAGUAAAAUCUCUUAGUAAACGCAGCUAAACGCGUGAAGUAGACCGCCUGGGGAGUACGGUCGCAAGAUUAAGACUCAAAGGAAUUGACGGGGCCGCACAAGCGGUGGAUUAUGUGGAUUAAAUUCGAUGCAACGCGAAAAACCUUAACCUGGCCUUGACAUGCUACUAACGAAGCAGAGAUGCAUUAGGUGCCCGAAACGGGAAAGUAGACACAGGUGCUGCAUGGCUGUCGUCAGCUCGUGUCGUGAGAUGUUGGGUUAAGUCCCGCAACGAGCGCAACCCUUGCCAAUAAUUGCCAUCAUUUAAGUUGGGUC